GACGAACGCUGGCGGCGUGCUUAACACAUGCAAGUCGAACGGAGAGGCCCUGCUUUUGUCGGGUGCACGAGUGGCGAACGGGUGAGUAACACAUGAGUAAACUACCUUCGACUUAGAGAUAACUUCCGAUAACUAGGGCUAGUACCGGCCAGGUGACACUACUGCUUGGUGGGGGUUGGAAAGAUUGGGCGGUUGGGGAUGGACUCGCGGCUUAUUAGCUUGUUGGUGGGGUAGUGGCUUACCAAGGCAUUGACGGGUAGCCGGCCUGUGAGGGUAGCCGGCGCCAUGGGGCCUGAGAGACGGCGCAGACGCCUACGGGAGGCAGCAGUGGAGAGUAUUGCACAAUGGCGGGACGCCUGAUGCAGCAGCGCCGCGUGCGGGAUGAUGUGCUGCGGGUGAUAAACCGCUUUCUCCUGUGUAGAAGCGUGAGUGACGGUAAUGGGUAAAGAAGCAACGGCUAACUACGUG
RNAcentral lists this ribosomal RNA (468 nucleotides) under uncultured bacterium. RNAcentral's name for it is "partial 16S ribosomal RNA". It matches the Rfam family "Bacterial small subunit ribosomal RNA", at positions 28 to 507 of the family's 1533-position model. The record is from RNAcentral.